UGGAGCGAUUAAGGAUAGUACCGUAAGGGAAUGAUGAAAGACAUCUUAACAGUAUUAAACAGCAAAGAUUACCCCUUCUACCUUUUGCAUAAUGAACUAGCCAGAAACAACUUAACAAAGAGAACUUAAGCUAAGCUCCCCGAAACCAGACGAGCUACCCAUAAACAAUCUAAAAGGAUCAACUCAUCUAUGUAGCAAAAUAGUGAGAAGAUUUGUGGGUAGAGGUGAAAAGCCUAACGAGCCUGGUGAUAGCUGGUUACCCACAAACAGAAUUUUAGUUCAACUUUAAAUUUACCUAAAAAAAAUAAAAUUUUAAUGUAAAUUUAAAAUAUAGUCUAAGAAGGUACAGCUUCUUAGAAUCAGGAUACAACCUUUAUUAGAGAGUAUAUACUAAUACCACCAUAGUUGGCUUAAAAGCAGCCACCAAUUGAGAAAGCGUUCCAGCUCAACAAACAAUAUAACUUAAUCCCAACCAUACUAUAUCAACUCCUAAUUAUACCCCCUGGGUCAUUCUAUUUAAGUAUAGAAGCAAUAAUGCUAGUAUGAGUAACAAGAAUCAUUUUCUCCCCGCAUAAGCUUAUAUCAGGAACGAUUUAGACCACA
Molecule: ribosomal RNA, 603 nt
Filed under: Canis indica
Lineage: Eukaryota; Metazoa; Chordata; Mammalia; Carnivora; Canidae
Description: partial 16S large subunit ribosomal RNA
Rfam family: Bacterial large subunit ribosomal RNA
Source: RNAcentral